Long non-coding RNA from Trichomycterus rosablanca, 656 nucleotides. RefSeq lists it as uncharacterized. The transcript has 3 exons. NCBI's taxonomy places the organism in Eukaryota, Metazoa, Chordata, Actinopteri, Siluriformes, Trichomycteridae. The record is from RefSeq and is a predicted model, not a curated record.
ACCGGCCGCGGCGUCAGUGCUAGAGGCUGCAGAUCUGCAGAAAGACGGAAACGCGUAGUGUAUCAGGACAGGAGACGGCGGCGCUUCGAAGGCAGCAGAUUUCGUGAGUAGUCCUGGUUCGGGUCCAGAUCCGGCUCCGGAUGCACCGCAGGAGGAGGAUUGACUGUAGGCUGUAGGGAGCGAGUGUGUACGGCGUGAUUCAGAACACCACCGUGUCACCUGCUCGGGUGACGUCAGCGGAGCGUCGCCGGAAGUCGCGCCUCACCUGUAGUGUGUGUGUAGCCGGUGUGUUUGGAGAGUGUGAGGUGUAGGAUGAUGAAUCGUGAUUUACCGUGUUUACGGUUUUAAUCGGAUUUUAUGUGAAAACGUAAAUAAUAAGAAUCCUGUAGCGAGACGCGCGCGCCGGUUUUACCUGAGCACGAGACUCGCAGGUAGGAACGAUGUUCAGGGUUCAUGUAUGUGACGUAACGGUGUUCCGUACAGGCGUCCAUACAUUUAUGAUCCUCACUCUGUUAUUGUGUAAACGUUCAUGUAUUUAUGACAGAUGAUUUUAUGGGCACAUCAGAGUUCCUCACCUACUACAAACCUUACCGUUGGAAAUAACUUUUGUAUUUAUUUUAAUUUUAAUGAAAGAUCAAUAAUUCUGUGAUAUUGAU